GAUGAAGAACGUAGCGAAAUGCGAUAAGUAAUGUGAAUUGCAGAAUUCAGCGAAUCAUCGAAUCUUUGAACGCACAUUGCGCCCCCUGGCAUUCCGGGGGGCAUGCCUGUUCGAGCGUCUCCAGGACGAAUCCUCGCGCGAGUGAACGCGCGGUCGUGGCGGAGGUGGCGUGCCCGAGCAGGGCGGCCACCGCGCUGGAAUCCAUGGGCGGACGCCUGCCGCGUGGCCGAGCGUGAUAUGACGCAUUGGCGCUCGUGCGCGGCGAGGCUGCCAGCCCUGGCCCGUCUGUCGGGCGGGGUAGAUCAACACGUGGGAACUCCUCGAAUCAGGUAGGGAUACCCGCUGAACUUAAGCAUAUCAAUAAGCGGAGGA
RNAcentral lists this unclassified non-coding RNA (372 nucleotides) under soil metagenome. Its description in RNAcentral is "partial contains 5.8S ribosomal RNA, internal transcribed spacer 2, and large subunit ribosomal RNA". The stretch from base 1 to 120 matches the Rfam family "5.8S ribosomal RNA", at positions 35 to 154 of the family's 154-position model. The record is from RNAcentral.